GAAUUGCGAUAAGUAAUGUGAAUUGCAGAAGUGAAUCAUCGAAUCUUUGAACGCAUCUUGCGCUCCCGGCAGAUCUAAUCUGGGGAGCAUGCCCGUCUGAGGGCCGCGAAUUGUUUCGAACGUUAGCUUUUUUCGUAAGAGGAAUAGCUGACGGAUCGGUAUUGAGGGUUUUGCCAUUUACAGUGGCUCCCUCGAAAUACAUUAGCAUGACAUUAUAAUUUCGAGUUGGUGAAUGGCCGACCGGGUUUUGAUAACAUCAAGGCUUCGGUGGCAGGACAUCACUUGAGAAAAGUUCAUCGCUUCUAAACCCGCCCUUACUUGCCAUUAGGAAGUAAUGGGAUAUUUUAAUUCAUCGGCCUCAGAUCGGUAGGACUACCCGCUGAACUUAA
This 389-nucleotide unclassified non-coding RNA is filed under the name uncultured Ustilaginales. Its description in RNAcentral is "sequence contains ITS1". The stretch from base 1 to 106 matches the Rfam family "5.8S ribosomal RNA", at positions 50 to 154 of the family's 154-position model. Lineage: Eukaryota; Fungi; Basidiomycota; Ustilaginomycetes; Ustilaginales. The record is from RNAcentral.